Molecule: ribosomal RNA, 454 nt
Filed under: uncultured bacterium
Lineage: Bacteria
Description: partial 16S ribosomal RNA
Rfam family: Bacterial small subunit ribosomal RNA
Source: RNAcentral
GAUGAACGCCGACAGAAUGCUUAACACAUGCAAGUCAACUUGAACUUCGGUUUGGGUGGCGGACGGGUGAGUAACGCGUAAAGAACUUGCCUCACAGCUAGGGACAACAUUUGGAAACGAAUGCUAAUACCUGAUAUUAUGAUUAUAUGGCAUCGUAUAAUUAUGAAAGCUAUAUGCGCUGUGAGAGAGCUUUGCGUCCCAUUAGCUAGUUGGAGAGGUAACAGCUCACCAAGGCGAUGAUGGGUAGCCGGCCUGAGAGGGUGAUCGGCCACAAGGGGACUGAGACACGGCCCUUACUCCUACGGGAGGCAGCAGUGGGGAAUAUUGGACAAUGGACCGAGAGUCUGAUCCAGCAAUUCUGUGUGCACGAUGAAGUUUUUCGGAAUGUAAAGUGCUUUCAGUUGGGAAGAAAAAAAUGACGGUACCAACAGAAGAAGUGACGGCUAAAUACGUG